RNAcentral lists this ribosomal RNA (640 nucleotides) under uncultured bacterium. Its description in RNAcentral is "bacterial SSU rRNA". It matches the Rfam family "Bacterial small subunit ribosomal RNA", at positions 202 to 842 of the family's 1533-position model. The record is from RNAcentral.
UAAAGAUUCAUCGGCUGCGGAUGGCCAUGCGGCGCAUUAGCUAGUCGGCGGGGUAACGGCCCACCGAGGCGACGAUGCGUAGGGGUUCUGAGAGGAAGGUCCCCCACACUGGUACUGAGACACGGACCAGACUCCUACGGGAGGCAGCAGUGAGGAAUAUUGGUCAAUGGCCGGGAGGCUGAACCAGCCAAGUCGCGUGAGGGAAGACGGCCCUACGGGUUGUAAACCUCUUUUGUCAGGGAGCAAGAGGCGGGUCGAGACCUGCUGUGAGAGUACCUGAAGAAAAAGCAUCGGCUAACUCCGUGCCAGCAGCCGCGGUAAUACGGAGGAUGCGAGCGUUAUCCGGAUUUAUUGGGUUUAAAGGGUGCGCAGGCGGAGGCACAAGUCAGCGGUAAAAUCGCGGGGCUCAACCCCGCUCCGCCGUUGAAACUGUGUCCCUUGAGUGCGCGAAGGGUAGGCGGAAUGCGUGGUGUAGCGGUGAAAUGCAUAGAUAUCACGCAGAACUCCGAUCGCGAAGGCAGCCUACCGGCGCGCAACUGACGCUCAUGCACGAAAGCGUGGGUAUCGAACAGGAUUAGAUACCCUGGUAGUCCACGCAGUAAACGAUGAGUGCUAUCUGUCCGGCCGGAAUGACGGCUGG